AGCAGUAUAGCAGUACAGUAGGUCGAACAUUUUGCCUGAAUUUGUUGCACUGUAUCGACUUGCCUGAUCUGGCUGGUUUGCCUGAAAUUCUUGUACUGACACGACCUCUCCCCGACUCCAGAGCACUGGCAGGUAGCCUCGUAGAUUUUCAAUCAGCUGAUCUCACAUACUAUACACUGCCACAAAAUGGGUCCAAAAAAUCGCAAAAAGUUUAUUUGCGUAAAAUGUGAGCGAAAAUUUCUCACAGAGAACGCAGCCUGGACACACAUAUCAUUUGAGCAUCCAGGGAACCCAGAUUUAUCCGUAGAAAUACAAUGCUGUAACUGUAAUCAACAAUUUUUAAAUUUAUCAGAACAUGACCAACAUGUGCUUGAAAUACACCAUGAGAAACAAAUAGAACCAGAACCAACUCUUUGCAUUAGCGGCGAUGAAACACCUAUUUGUAAAUCCAAAUAUAAAUAUUAUUGUUCUCUCUGCAGUAGAAAGUUUGGUUCAGAGAAUGCGCUAUGGACCCAUGCAGCUUUUAAGCAUGUAGACAAUUGUCAAGAUCUUUCUACGCAAUAUUACUGUGAUCCGUGUAAACUAGUUUUUGAAUCGUUGCAGGAGUUUAAUCAGCAUCAGGAGAUCUCUUUAGAACCUAAUAAUGCAGAGUCACCUGCAGAUUUUGAUCCCAGAGAGAACGGGUCCAAGGUUCCGGUUCAGGAACGAGAUUUGUCGUCGGAGAUAUUGCUCAUGUCAACUAUAUUAACCAAUGACCUGCUGGAAGAGCAUGUCGGGGUACUGGAGCGGAAGGUUGAGUACUUGGAGGAGUAUAUGAGAAACCUGAUGAGCAAUUUAUUGAGUAUACCUGAACCCAGCCCUUCUCCUGAUAUUGUUCGACCUAGGAUGGAAAGACGGGAUAGCCUUGAAGACCAUAAUUAUAGCUGUGAGAGUCCUAUGCCCCUGGAGGACCCGGAAAACCAGGAUGUUGAAGAAGAAGACCGACGGACGGAGCUGAGUAUGGGAAUAGAGUUCGGAGAAACAAUAUGUGAAGGAUCCUACCUCGAGGUUUGUAGAGAGGAAACCGUCGUGGAUACACCUCACCAGGAGGAACAGGAGAUGGAUACAGAUCAGGUUCUUCAGGAUAUCCGGCUCCAGAUACAUCAUCUGGAUAUACCUACCUUGGAAAACCUAGUUAAUUCUGAUCUUCAAACUUUUGAUUUACCUUUCUAUGAUCUACCUGAUUCUACAGUACAAGAUACAUUAGAUGAAUCCCAAGCUGAAACUAAGACCCGGAGAAAACUAUCCCGGAGCCGAGCACUGCCAACCCAGGAUGCGGAGGGAGGAAUGGAAACUGGAAGAAAACGUUCUCAAUCCCGUCCUACCCUAGCAUCAGCGUAAUAAUAUUCAAUCAGUCAUCUUUUCUAAGAAUUCAGAUAGGACUCGACCUUCCUGCAGAAUGGAUGAUCGCGGUCACAGCACCUUGAUGGAAUGAUUUCAAAUCAUUUUUUCGAAAUCAUUAGGUUCAUAAUAAUUAAUAACGUUUUGCCGUGUACAAAGUUUUUAAAUGAUUUAAGUUUUAUUUCCAAUGACUUGGAACUUGGUAGUGAUCAAUUUUCUCUAUUUGAAUAACACAAUAGUCACAUUUUAGAAAAAUAGUUAAGCAAAUGUUUUCUCACAUUUUUUUUUAUGAUAUUGAAGUUUUAAGAACGUAAAUUGUUUUCAAGAAGGCAAGGUGUCAAACGUUUUAUUACAAGAAUAUCUAUUUAGAAAUCUGUACCUGUUUUUUUUAUAAAAACAGUAAAUAAAUACCCCUCCCCCUUGCCAAGAAAAAAACUGCGUACCCCAAUUGUUAUUUCCUGGUCAUUGAAGAAUAUAUUGUUAAAAUUUUUCCUAUUUAUUUAUACUUAUCCUAAAUCCAACAUUAAAUCACUAAAUUGCUCCUAUUUAAGCAUUUUGAUAUUGUUAUUUAGAUCAAAAAAGGAAGUUUUUAAAACAUAGAUACCUCUCUCAGCUCUCUCCUCUAAUUAUAAUAAGAUUUUUUUUCACAAAGAAAUAAUAAAAAAUGACUCGUUAAAUGUUACAGAUUUGAUAAAUGUUAUAAAUGUUUUUAGUGUUCAAAUUAAUUGCUUUUACAUCAUGUAAUACCAGUUGUAUUCGAGUAUUUUCCUAAAUUCCCCCCUUCCAUUAAGAAGGUAUGAAUCUUUAAAAUUGUUGUGUAAACAUAGAUUUGCCUGUACAACCCAUUAUUUAUACAUUUUUCAUCUUCAUACCCUAAAUGAAAGACUGUUUUUAGCAGAGAAAUAACAUAUUUCUGUGAUAAUAAAUCUUAGUCCAAUUUUUAAAAGCAACUACUGCCUGUUAAAAAUCUUCAAUCCUGUAUGUUCGGAUAAUCACAAACGACUGUCUUGUUUCUUAACUCUUAGUUCUCUUAUUAGUGUUCAGAUUUUAUUGAUAAAUGUUUCUUAUUCUGUUAGAACUCAAUAAAUUGAUUGCUGAAAC
RNAcentral lists this unclassified non-coding RNA (2481 nucleotides) under Eurytemora carolleeae. RNAcentral's name for it is "uncharacterized LOC111701153". Lineage: Eukaryota; Metazoa; Arthropoda; Copepoda; Calanoida; Temoridae. The record is from RNAcentral.